UUCGGUAAAAGUUAAAUACCGAGGGCAUUUGCCCUUCGAUAACGCCUACUAUGCUUUUAGGUUCAAAAGAGUAUUUGUUCCUCAAAUGAACCUAAAUUUCCCAAAAGUAGAACUCCCUCCCUCUGUCGAACUCACUCCUUAACUUAGGGUUGCAGUCAACCGGUUCGUUGCAGUUUGACGACGCGAGUUUGGUGGUGUGGAUGCUAACGGAGGUUCGUUGCUGGAUGGCGCUCUUCCAUUCCCUACUCUCUGUUCGAAGCGGUUCGUGGGUUUGAAGCGUGAGGUUGUCGCCCUAAUGCGGUUUAAAGCGGUUGCUGUUGCGGACGUUGAUGGCAGUUCGUUGGUGGCUGGUUUGCGGACGCUGACGGCGGUUCGUUGGGAUUGGGCCGCGAAUGUUGUUGUCGGAGAUGUCAAGGCAGAGAAGGAGGCAGAGGUUUUUGUGAAGGUCAAGCCCACCACAGAGGUUGACGGAAGGGAGGGAGAGGCCCAUCACUCUGCCGUUUGGGGAGCACUCGAUGCCGAGCCACACAUUUACUUUUUCUAUAUCUGACUAUUGCAUUAUAAAUUUGAUCCAGAUGAUAGAUUCGGCAAAGGGAUGAUACAGGUGGGGUGCAUCGAGCUCGUCAUGGUCCUUCGUGUCGACAAGGAAAAGGGUUACAUCGAUCUCAGAGAGUGUAGGGUCUACGAAGAGGAUAUUCAGGCCUACGAGGAGAGAUACAACAAGAGCAAGCUCGUCCACUCCAUCAUGCGCCAAAUUGUUGAAAUCCUCAACAUCGAUUUGGAGAACCCAGCAUGUUAUUCNUGGAAUCUCCUGUUGGAGUUGGCUUUUCAUACUUAUACAAGCGGUGACUAUGACCAAUUGGGAGAUGAUUUAACAGUUGAGCUUAUCACAAGGGUUGUUUGUCAACCAGCUAACUGGUGCCCAGCUGCAAAUGUAAACUAAAGAUUGGAAGCAUAUUUCUUGAAUACAUUUUGGGCCCUGCAGUCCUUGUUGCUUCCUUCAUUUUUCCCUCACUCUAUUUACGCAAAGUGCUUUCCAUCAUUUUCGAGGACUCUUUGUUAACAGGUCAUAACUACGACACCAGGGGGGUGGAUAUCGUGAAAGGGUUGUGGCUUUAGAUCAAAUGGACCAAUCCAAGAAGUUGCAUGAGGCAACUAGUUGUCUGGCAUGAAUGGUGCAGUUGACUUGAUUAGGGAAGCAAAGCCAAAGACAUGUCUAAUUUUAUGUAUUUGUUUUGUUCAAUUUUCUUCAUUUUCCCCUUUCUUUUUCUCUGGGCCCGAAGAACUGUAGGGCAUUUUCUUCUUAUAGUUUUAUGUAGAUGUUUAGUUUUGAGACUUUUGCCACAUAAAGCACCCUUUGUUUUAGACCUUGGUGA
RNA transcript from Vigna radiata var. radiata (mung bean), 1376 nucleotides. It is a transcript of the gene named eukaryotic translation initiation factor 2 subunit alpha homolog, with no coding region annotated. The record is from RefSeq and is a predicted model, not a curated record. The transcript has 5 exons. NCBI's taxonomy places the organism in Eukaryota, Viridiplantae, Streptophyta, Magnoliopsida, Fabales, Fabaceae.